Molecule: long non-coding RNA, 1113 nt
Organism: Penaeus chinensis
Lineage: Eukaryota; Metazoa; Arthropoda; Malacostraca; Decapoda; Penaeidae
Exons: 2
Source: RefSeq, a predicted model, not a curated record
CUAGAGCUCAUAUCGAUGUCUCAGGCGAUUCUCAACCUUCCGUCACCGACACAUAGAGCUCUUUUCGUCUGAUAACCCACGCGCACGUGCCUCUCACACCUGCGACGCUGUUUGUUCGUAUGUCCGUGUGUGUGUGUGUUUUAUGUAUAUGAGAACGUCUAGUGUCCAGUGCAUGCAGCACAGACAAACAAACAUACAGAAAGGCAAACAAAGAGACAAACACCUUGAAACAAUAAUCUCAAAGCUAGGAUCUUCUGACAUAACGAAAUCAUCCUUUACAUUUGUAUUCAACACGUUGUAGAAAGCAUAUGCGAUCUCACCCCCAGUAGGACACGCACGGACGCACGCACGCCCGCCCGCCCGCCCGCCCGCCCGGACGCACGCACGCACAGAGGGCUGAGGUGAGGCUGCUGGCCCCACAGUACGGGAGGUGCCGCUCUGCCGUUAACUCCGGGUUGUGGUGCCGGGCGCUCUCUGGGGUCCUUGUCUCGCUCCCAACCAAGGAGAGCUGAUCGGGACAGCUCACUGGCUCGAUAUGUUUUAGGAAAUUCAACAGAAAACAAAACAUUAACGACCACUGCCAUGAUAAUGUGAUAUCAUAAAUAGAAAUAAAAAACCCACAUAUCAUCCUCCGCCGUCUCCAUAUCCGCCUUAUAUAAUGAAUAAAAGAUAACGAAGGGCGUGAGGGCGCAGAAACGACCCCACAUAUCACGUAGGACGACAUCUUUUUUUUCUCGCUCUCUCGAUCUUCUUCCUCGUAAGAGCUAAGCAUCACCGAGAUAUAUGGCGAAGUGUCCGUCGGUGAUCAGGUCGAGAGAGUGAAAUAAGAGCCCGGAGUGUCUUCCUCCCCCCACCCAAAUCCUCCUCCUCCUCCUCCUCCUCCUCCUCCUCCUCCUCCUCCUCCUCCUCCUCCUCCCGACCCCCCCCGUGAUCAGAUCGAAAGUGAAAUAAGAGGGUUGAGUAUCACCCUCCCCCCCUCCCCCUCCCCCCACCCCUCCUCCCCUUUAAACAGACGAUGAGGACGCUCUGGAAAUAUUUCGUGCGGUGAGAGCGGGGGAAGGAAAAUAAAGGAAGAGGGGAGAUAAAUAAGGAAAAGAAAGAAAGAAAGAAAGG